Molecule: ribosomal RNA, 264 nt
Filed under: uncultured bacterium
Lineage: Bacteria
Description: partial 16S ribosomal RNA
Rfam family: Bacterial small subunit ribosomal RNA
Source: RNAcentral
GUCCACGCCGUAAACGUUGGGCGCUAGAUGUGGGGACCUUUCCACGGUUUCCGUGUCGUAGCUAACGCAUUAAGCGCCCCGCCUGGGGAGUACGGCCGCAAGGCUAAAACUCAAAGGAAUUGACGGGGGCCCGCACAAGCGGCGGAGCAUGCGGAUUAAUUCGAUGCAACGCGAAGAACCUUACCAAGGCUUGACAUAACCGAGAACGCCGCAGAAAUGUGGAACUCUUUGGACACUCGGUUACAGGUGGUGCAUGGUUGUCGU